CUCCUCUUCAACAAGAAAGUCCUCACCGAUGCAGAAAGGUCAAGAUUAUUCCUGCUGAAUACUGACUUAUUUCCAAUUACCCAUGGUCAGGGGCAGUCUG
Neomonachus schauinslandi (Hawaiian monk seal) is the source of this 100-nucleotide long non-coding RNA. RefSeq lists it as uncharacterized. The transcript is spliced from 3 exons. The record is from RefSeq and is a predicted model, not a curated record. NCBI's taxonomy places the organism in Eukaryota, Metazoa, Chordata, Mammalia, Carnivora, Phocidae.